AGACUCUGUAUUACGAAGGGGCCGCGCGUGUUUGAGAACACGACCAGAAUACAAAUUUCUUAUCAGAAAUAUAUAAUUAUUUAAAAUAAUGUUAUACUUACAUUGUCUGUACGCAUUCAAUUGGAAAAUAUUAAAUUGACUCGCGAUAAUAACAUUAUGCUGAAAUCCUCUUAUAAAUCGUCCGAUUUUCAUUAAUACAGGGUGAUUUUUGUUAUUAUG
Cinara cedri is the source of this 219-nucleotide non-coding RNA. NCBI's taxonomy places the organism in Eukaryota, Metazoa, Arthropoda, Insecta, Hemiptera, Aphididae. The record is from the annotation of a GenBank genome assembly.